GGGACUUGUUCUUCUCAGGUGAAGAAUUGUUCGUAUUCUGAAUUUUACUUACAGCCAAAGUGGAAUCCAGUUUCUCAACAGCUCUUUUAGAUGUAGAAGUGUCAGGGUGCACUGGUGUGCUACAGUUAGAAGAUGAAGAGGAGGAAGACGAUGACGACGAACUUUCAGUUCUCUCUCCAUCUUCUCUUCGAGUUCUAAUUUUCUUAAGCUC
Molecule: unclassified non-coding RNA, 211 nt
Filed under: Hevea brasiliensis (rubber tree)
Lineage: Eukaryota; Viridiplantae; Streptophyta; Magnoliopsida; Malpighiales; Euphorbiaceae
Source: RNAcentral